This 642-nucleotide ribosomal RNA is filed under the name uncultured bacterium. RNAcentral's name for it is "bacterial SSU rRNA". It matches the Rfam family "Bacterial small subunit ribosomal RNA", at positions 232 to 873 of the family's 1533-position model. The record is from RNAcentral.
CGCGGCCUAUCAGCUUGUUGGCGAGGUAACGGCUCACCAAGGCAACGACGGGUAGCUGGUCUGAGAGGAUGGCCAGCCACAUUGGGACUGAGAUACGGCCCAGACUCCUACGGGAGGCAGCAGUGGGGAAUCUUGCGCAAUGGCCUAACGGCUGACGCAGCGACGCCGCGUGUAGGAUGAAGCUCUUCGGAGUGUAAACUACUGUUGCCCGGGACGAAUAGCUCGAUUAAUCGAGCCUGACAGUACCGGGUGAGGAAGCACCGGCUAACUCCGUGCCAGCAGCCGCGGUAAUACGGGGGGUGCGAGCGUUGUCCGGAAUCACUGGGCGUAAAGGGCGCGUAGGUGGUUUGAUAAGGGUGUGGUGAAAGUCCGGGGCUCAACCCCGGAUCUGCCGUGCCGACUGUCAAACUCGAGGACUGUAGAGGCAGACGGAAUUCCGGGUGUAGCGGUGGAAUGCGUAGAGAUCCGGAGGAAGACCGGUGGCGAAGGCGGUCUGCUGGGCAGUUUCUGACACUGAGGCGCGACAGCGUGGGGAGCAAACAGGAUUAGAUACCCUGGUAGUCCACGCCGUAAACGACGGGUACUAGGUGCCUGGGGGAGCGACCCUCUGGGUGCCGGCGCUAACGCAGGAAGUACCCCGCC